AUUGAACGCUGGCGGCAUGCUUUACACAUGCAAGUCGAGCGGCAGCGCGGGGGGCAACCCUGGCGGCGAGCGGCGAACGGGUGAGUAAUGCAUCGGAACGUACCCUGGAGUGGGGGAUAACGCCGCGAAAGCGGCGCUAAUACCGCAUAUGCUCUGAGGAGGAAAGUGGGGGACCGCAAGGCCUCACGCUCUGGGAGCGGCCGAUGUCCGAUUAGCUAGUUGGUGGGGUAAAGGCUUACCAAGGCGACGAUCGGUAGCUGGUCUGAGAGGAUGAUCAGCCACACUGGGACUGAGACACGGCCCAGACUCCUACGGGAGGCAGCAGUGGGGAAUUUUGGACAAUGGGGGCAACCCUGAUCCAGCCAUGCCGCGUGAGUGAAGAAGGCCUUCGUGUUGUAAAGCUCUUUGGUCGGGAGAAGUGCCUGCUUAAUACGCGGGGUAUUUGACGGUACCGGCAGAAUAAGCACCGGCUAACUACGUGCCAGCAGCCGCGGU
Molecule: ribosomal RNA, 495 nt
Filed under: uncultured bacterium
Lineage: Bacteria
Description: bacterial SSU rRNA
Rfam family: Bacterial small subunit ribosomal RNA
Source: RNAcentral